CUUCCUACGGGGCGCAGCAGUGGGGAAUAUUGCACAAUGGGGGAAACCCUGAUGCAGCAACGCCGCGUGAGUGAAGAAGUAUUUCGGUAUGUAAAGCUCUAUCAGCAGGGAAGAAGAUGACGGUACCUGAUUAAGAAGCCCCGGCUAACUACGUGCCAGCAGCCGCGGUAAUACGUAGGGGGCAAGCGUUAUCCGGAUUCACUGGGUGUAAAGGGAGCGUAGACGGCCAUGCAAGCCUGGAGUGAAAGCCCGGGGCCCAACCCCGGGACUGCUCUGGGAACUGUGCGGCUGGAG
This 294-nucleotide ribosomal RNA is filed under the name uncultured bacterium. Its description in RNAcentral is "partial 16S ribosomal RNA". It matches the Rfam family "Bacterial small subunit ribosomal RNA", at positions 335 to 646 of the family's 1533-position model. The record is from RNAcentral.